AUGGCAGAAACCCAUUCUCUCCUCGGUCGUUCACGGGUUCGUCCCCAUGCUUUAGCCGGCCACCGUUUCCCUGUUCUUUUACUGUUAAUCAUCUCAAUUCUAUCUAUUUCGCUCUUUCUCCCAAAGUCUGAUUCCCCCAAGACAUUCAACGACGACGAUGUCGAUGACCACAUAAUUCCGAUCACCGAACCUGAAUUCAACUGUCGUUGGAGUUCACUGAACCAAAUCCAGCAGGACAGAAUUCGAAGCUACAUCAGCAAUCAAACCCACGUUGGUUUUACCAUCAUGAAGCAGCUGCUUUCGACUGAAGGCAAGGACAGGAAUAUGGUGUACUCACCGCUGUCCAUCCACAUUGUUCUUAGCCUUAUAGCGGCCGGGUCAGACGGUCCUACACAAGACCAGUUGCUCGCCUUCCUUAAGUCCAAGUCCACCCAGGAACUCAACGAUCUAGCCUCCACCCUCGUGCCUCUGUUCUUUGUGGAAGGAUCACCAAAUGGCGGGCCUGGUUUGUCAUUCACCAAUGGUGUUUGGAUUGACAAGUCUCUCCCAGUCAAGCCUUCUUUCAAACGGGUAGUGGAUACUGCUUACAAGGCUGCCUUAAAGCGAGUGGAUUUCGAGCACAAGCCUGAUGAAGUUAGAAGUGAAGUGAACUCAUGGGCCGAGAAGGAGACUAAUGGCCGGAUCAAAAGUAUUCUUGCUCCUGGCUCAGUUAACAGCCAAACUAAGCUCCUUCUCGCCAAUGCAUUAUACUUUAAAGGAGAUUGGGAGGACAAGUUUGAUGCAUCAGGAACGAAAGAAUAUGAUUUCCACCUUCUCAUUGGGAGCUCAGUUAAGACUCCUUUCAUGACAAGGUGGAUAACAAGUUGGGGAAGGCGGUAUAUAAGUGUUUUUGACAGUUUCAAAGUCUUGAAACUCCCUUACGAACAAGGUCAACAUGGUGAGAAGUGUUUGUCCAUGUAUGUGUUUCUUCCAAACGAUAGAGAUGGAUUGCCAGCUUUAGUUGAGAGAUUUUCUUCCGAGUCUGGGUUCUUAGAUGACCAUCUUCCGCAGAAAACAGUUAACGUUGGUGCUUUUAUGAUGCCGAAGUUCAAGUUUUCUUCUAAAUUCGAAGCUUCUGAGCUUCUGAAAACUGUAGGAUUGAAGUUGCCUUUGUACCUGGAGGUUUGACAGAGAUGGUAGACUCACCUAUUCAUGUUUCACACAUACAACAUGAAUCAUUCAUUGAUGUUAAUGAGGACGGUACAGAAGCUGCUGCUGUUACGGUUUCUAAUCUAGUGGGUUCCACAUUGGAUAAUGAGAAGCCGAUAGACUUUGUGGCAGAUCAUCCUUUCCUUUUUCUUAUCAGAGAAGAAACAACUGGAUCAGUGUUGUUCAUUGGACAAAUCCUCAAUCCAUUGCCGAUUGAUAAAUGA
Molecule: RNA transcript, 1412 nt
Organism: Fragaria vesca subsp. vesca
Lineage: Eukaryota; Viridiplantae; Streptophyta; Magnoliopsida; Rosales; Rosaceae
Gene name: serpin-ZX-like
Exons: 2
Source: RefSeq, a predicted model, not a curated record